This 665-nucleotide long non-coding RNA is filed under the name Nicotiana tabacum (common tobacco). RNAcentral's name for it is "long non-coding RNA (NTAB_LNC002682)". Lineage: Eukaryota; Viridiplantae; Streptophyta; Magnoliopsida; Solanales; Solanaceae. The record is from RNAcentral.
AGAAGACACCUACCUCCCCUACCCUUCCUGAAACGAGCGAGCAUCCAAGUCUUUAGUCGUGGUCACCACCCCAAAAAUCCAGAAGCUCCAAUCUCCUUAAUCACUUACUGCUACUGCAAUCGAAAGAAUUCCACAUUUUUACUAUCCAAAGCUGUAGCAAUUCUAUUCAACCACGGAAAAAUUGAGGAAUUGAAGGAGUCAAGUUGUAGGUUGGAAUUGGAGCUAUCACUAAGGGCCUUUGAAUCUGCUUUGUUCCAAAUUAAAUGGCGUCUCAAACUUCCAUCAAAGCUUCUUCAUUAAAAGAUCCCCAACAGUAAAAGUCAUGGUAUUAUGGUUUUCUAUCAAUUUCAAUUUCCAUUGGACUUCAUGAAACCGAGUAUAGGUAGUGUCUUAGGCGAGACUUUCGUUUAUGGCUCGACGUUUCAGUCUCGUCUGGUCUCCGACAGAAGUUCCCGGUCAACGUUCCAUUUAGUCCAAUUUUGAGGAAUUUUUAUCAAUACAAAGGUCCAUUUCUUGACAUCUCUCUUAUUACGGUAAUCUUAUAUUUUGAGCUGAUGUUGUUUUUUUAUUUUAUUGUGAUUCUAUGUUAUAUAUAUUUCUUGUGUUAGAUGUGUUUUAAAUUUAAUUUCUUGGACUGAAAUUGCAGCAAUCGACGUGGCUUCUUG